Molecule: unclassified non-coding RNA, 353 nt
Filed under: Hevea brasiliensis (rubber tree)
Lineage: Eukaryota; Viridiplantae; Streptophyta; Magnoliopsida; Malpighiales; Euphorbiaceae
Source: RNAcentral
CUUUUAUUAUAAACCACCCUCUAUACUAUUCGUUUCUUUCUAUGCUUAAUUAGAUAUGUGUUUGGACUCUCCUUCUCUCUCUCUUUCUUCUUCUCUUUGGCUUUCUUCUAUCCAUUCUUGAAGUCAUUCAUUUUCUUGAUAUAUCAAACGAACAUGAGACGAAACUGCAAUCUUGAACUCCAACUUUUUCCUUUCUCCGAUCCCGACCACCACCCACCUGUAUUGGAGGAGAAGGAGACUAGUGAUGAGCAAAGCCCACAGCAUAGUCAACAGCUCACUAUUUUCUACAAUGGAAGGGUUUGCGUCUGUGAUGUCACGGAGCUCCAGGCAAGAGCCAUUCUAUUGCUAGCAAG